This 243-nucleotide unclassified non-coding RNA is filed under the name Hevea brasiliensis (rubber tree). The record is from RNAcentral. Lineage: Eukaryota; Viridiplantae; Streptophyta; Magnoliopsida; Malpighiales; Euphorbiaceae.
UUGCUUUUGGUUUUCUUAAUCCCAUUGCUUAUAUUACAUACCUCUGAAUCCAAACUCUUUUAGCUUUAGCCUUCAAAUUCUUCAUGAAUACAGCCUUUAUCCUGUAGUGUUGUGGUAGGAAUUUCAUUUCAUUGGAAUGUUCUCUUAGAAUUUUAUCUUGGACCAUGCAUAGUUGGCACAUAUGCUACUGCCUACCUGGCAUAUUUUUUUGGUGGAUUUUUAUUUUUAAUUUGUGUGUGUGUG